Molecule: long non-coding RNA, 1715 nt
Organism: Raphanus sativus (radish)
Lineage: Eukaryota; Viridiplantae; Streptophyta; Magnoliopsida; Brassicales; Brassicaceae
Exons: 5
Source: RefSeq, a predicted model, not a curated record
UAUCCUGGACCAAGUCAAGCCCAAGUCCAAAAACCUAACCUGCAUCGAUUCUGUAAUCGUCGUUGCCACUUCGUCUUCGACACCUCAGUUCUGUAAUCGCCGUUACCACCACCACCUCGGCACCUCCUGAUCAAUAAAUGAGCUCUUUAAUCCGUCCUUUAUAACGUUUCACCUCACUUUGAUCCCCUUAUAAAUUGCUUCUUCUAAACCUAAAACCACCCGAAAUCCAAAACAUCCACUGAAAAGCACAGCUAUGGCCAGUAAAUCCACCGGAAAUUCUCCCUUCUCUGAUUAUUUCAAGAACAUGACCAGCAGUAUUUGAGCUACAAUUUCGGUUGAACCGUUUCUGGGACGCUAGAUACAUUGCAAAUGGUGGGAGCUUUAUUGGGUUAGAGCUACUCCUCAUCGACAAACAGAGUACUUGAAUAAAUCAAUGUUAAUACCGAAGAAUACAUCUGAUUUAAUUCGUCCAGUCUCAGGACGGCCUCGCGUCAGACUUAUCACUGCACAAGAGCCUAGAAUCGAGAAUAAAGUGGAAAAACCAGCAAUUCUCAUGUUGCUCUGCCGCCUAUAGCAAAAUAUGUUCCCAUCACAAUGAUCCAUGUCAUGUUCUUGCACCAACAGAAGAGAAAGUAUAUGAAGACAGCUAACUUCGGGAGUUGAUUGACACCCCGGCACUUGACUGGCAGAGGUAAGCCAUCUUUCACAAAUGGUGGACGUAAAAAUGUUGAUGUUUUUAGACAUUUAUCAAUCCUCUUAUUUUUAUUCGAUUUAACAAGCAAGGUCAAUAUAAUUUUGGGGCAGGGAGAUGUUACGUAUAGGGCACUAAUGGAAGGAUGGGUGAAAGUGGUUUUAGUAAUCUUCAUAUUCUUUGUUAUUAUUAUAUUCUAGAAUGUUUUCAAUAAUUUUUUCCAAUAUCUUUGUUUUGUUUUGUUUUGUUUUGUUUUAAUUGUUUUAAAUUUUAAGAUAUUGGUUUGUUUAGUUACAAGAAGGGAAAGUAAAACUCCACCUCCGGGGUAUAUUUACCAUCGUUGUAAUGUCGCUGGUAUGUCAGCUUUUGUUAGAGUUCCUUUAUUUUUCUUACACUUUCGUAAACAGAUAAAAGGUGCUAAGUCAAGUAAAGUAUAUAUGAGAAUUACUUUACUUGACUUAGAAAUUUUUUAUUUAUCAUUGCCCCACAAUGAUGACCCUAAUUACAAUGUUAAAAGAGUCAAAUCACCUACUGCUAUCCCCAAGUCCAUGUUGGUGGCUCUUAUUCAUUGCCAAGUGGGCUGCUUUUGCAAAGGAAAUGGAGGGAUUGCCAUCAACAACACGCUCUGUACGAGAAGUUCCGCCUGAGCUAAAAUGUCCGCUAUGCAAAGAAGUAAUGGAAGAUGAUGCACUUACAAGCUGGUCAUGUUGUUUCCAGAGCUUCUGUGCGACAAGUAAAGUACUGCAGUUUCAGUAUCUGUUCUUCCUCUCAGUUUUCGUGAAUUCUUAAACCUCAAAGUAAAGCAAGGAGUGACUGGAGUCUAGGGAAUGCUCAGUCAUGUGAUAUAGAGUUCUUCUAUACAAUAGAAAGUGAACAUCACUAAAACUAAAGCAAGUAUUUUGGAUUUGUUUUAAGGGUUAUAGUUCUUUUAUGUUUAGUUAAAGUGACCCAUUUGAAUCUAGAUAUGAUUGAACGUUGAUGAAUAUGAUUCGAGCAAUUCUCUAAUAUGUUAUAGUUUCUCUUA